CAGUCGCCGCGGUAAUACGUAGGGUGCGAGCGUUAAUCGGAUUUACUGGGCGUAAAGCGUGCGCAGGCGGCCCGUUAAGACAGAUGUGAAAUCCCUGGGCCCAACCUAGGGAUUGCGCUUGUGACUGGCGGGCUCGAGUACGGUAGAGGGGGGUGGAAUUCCUGGUGUAGCAGUGAAAUGCGUAGAGAUCAGGAGGAACACCGAUGGCGAAGGCAGCCCCCUGGGCCUGUACUGACGCUCAUGCACGAAAGCGUGGGGAGCAAACAGGAUUAGAUACCCCAGUAGUCCCUGUCUCUUAUAC
This 301-nucleotide ribosomal RNA is filed under the name uncultured bacterium. Its description in RNAcentral is "partial 16S ribosomal RNA". It matches the Rfam family "Bacterial small subunit ribosomal RNA", at positions 509 to 807 of the family's 1533-position model. The record is from RNAcentral.